Long non-coding RNA from Cyprinus carpio (common carp), 1818 nucleotides. Lineage: Eukaryota; Metazoa; Chordata; Actinopteri; Cypriniformes; Cyprinidae. The record is from Ensembl.
CGUGAUCAGUGGUUAUCAGCUCAUAGAUAUGGGCCAGGAGGGGCCUACUGCGCCUACUAGUAGGCUCAGAAAGCUGUUAUCAUCCAUCCACAUGGUUAAUCACCCACAAAUAUACAAGAGAAGACUCCAGAUCCAAGCCACGAGGAAUCCAGCUCACCGGUAAUCGGAAGUCUACUGGAUAACGCGGCAACGUUGCGAUAUUUUCAGGUAAGACUAUUAAAAUGAUAAAACUGAGCAUUUAAACUGUUAUUAAUUAGCCAAUAAGGGAAAACAAUACAUAAAAUCGUAUUGCGGGACAUGAUUGUUGACAUGAGAUAACCGUAUUGCGAUGUGUCUGCAAACAUUAUAGCUAGGCCCUAUAACGUUAUUAGCCUGUCGUUACGUUAACGUUGCAUGCUUUAUGUGAGCAUUAACGUUGUUAAUUAGCAUGUUUUUGUGUCUGAAGCUCAUGGGGAAAUUUAGUUUAAUAGUUAAGCGCAAAGUAAACCUGUAAAAAUGACGUUUUACCCACUGUAAGACAGUAAGGCUUAUUGCAUAUAUUGUGUAUCUCCUCAUUGACGCUUGACUGAAGCAAUAUGAUGAGUGAAAUAUUCAAACCAAAGACGUAUUUUACGGCUGUUUGGAAACCUUGGGAUCUUGACUAGAAUGUAAAAUAAAGUUCUGUGGGUUUGAACAAAAGCUUGGCUGCAUUUGAUCCCACAUGAGGAAGCUUAGAGUAAUACGUUAAUUUUAAUCAGGCUGCUGCUCUACCUGUGCACACCUGUCACCUGUGUGUCUAUCUAUCUAUCUAUCUAUCUAUCUGUCUGUCUGUCUGUCUGUCUGUCUGUCUGUCUUUUCAGGCACCAAAUACAUAUCCCUCAUCUGCAUCCUGUGUUUACCGAAGUAUUUUUCUGUCUUUUAGGCUGUGAUAAGAAUUAGGGGUUGUACUGUGCUUUAUGUAAUAAUUGCCAAAUAUUUUGAUUUCAGAAAUGGGAAAAGCAGUUAAGAGUGCACACUUCAGUAGCGUUAAGAUUAAGGUGGUGAGAAGGUGUUUCGCUGGCCCUGCAAAGGUUUCUUACCUUAGUCAAGGUCUUCCCCAGCCCAACUCCAAACAGACCCACCCUUCAAACCCUUCCAUGUCUAUUACAUCUCAACAGGCUGAACCUAAUGAUGUGUCACCGAGCUGUAGUUCAUGUUCUGAGACUGCAUACAGUAAGGCAAAGAAGAGAGAGCUUCAUGCCUGGGAUGCAGUCAAAUCUUUCUUACAGAAUGCCCACUAUGAGCCAUCCUCCCUGGGGUUAUUCCUAUAUUUACCUGAAGGCCAUGGCACCCAUACUGUGUACAUAAAGGACAUGAAGGUCAUUGUCAGCACAGGACGGCUCCGCACUGUCACAGUCAAUAUGUGUGCGUGUGAACUAGAAACCACCGUAGGAUUGUACAGUUGCAUGCAAAAGUAUUCUUGAUAUUUUUCUAUCAAAUAACAACUUCUGAGUGAACCACCAUCAUCACCACGUUACCAUACGAAAUAGUGUUUUCACUGACUGCUGCUUAUACCGUAGGUUAACACACUCUACAGAGCCCUGGUGGGGGAAUCCAUAUCCCAUUUUAGGCAUCAGCACUUCCGACAAAGAAGUUUGGUAGAUAUUUGCCCACAAUUAGAUGAUGGGACCAUAUGCCCAGCAUGUCCAAAGGUUGGUUCUAGUUCCAGCGUGGUUCUUGUUUGAUUAGCCACUGUAUUUACCAUGACCUGAUGGCAUUGAAAUGAUAUCUGCAAUAUUAGUUAAUUUUUGUAUAAAGUAUUAUAAUAAAAUAGUAAUAGUAUAAAUGUAUAAACCUGGU